CCUACGUGCGGCAGCAGUGGGGAAUUUUGCACAAUGGGGGCAACCCUGAUGCAGCGACGCCGCGUGAUUUAGAAGGCCUUCGGGUUGUAAAAAUCUUUUGUAUGGGAAGAAAAUGACAGUACCAUACGAAUAAGGACCGGCUAAUUACGUGCCAGCAGCCGCGGUAAUACGUAAGGUCCGAGCGUUGUCCGGAAUCAUUGUGCGUAAGGGGUACGUAGGCGGAUAAGCAAGUUAGAAGUGAAAUCCUAUAGCUCAACUAUAGUAAGCUUUUAAAACUGUUCAUCUUGAGGUAUGGAAGGGAAAGUGGAAUUCCUAGUGUAGCGGUGAAAUGCGCAGAUAUUAGGAGGAAUACCGGUGGCGAAGGCGACUUUCUGGCCAUAAACUGACGCUGAGGUACGAAAGCGUGGGUAGCAAACAGGAUUAGAUACCCGAGUAGUC
RNAcentral lists this ribosomal RNA (438 nucleotides) under uncultured Anaerococcus sp. Its description in RNAcentral is "bacterial SSU rRNA". It matches the Rfam family "Bacterial small subunit ribosomal RNA", at positions 338 to 795 of the family's 1533-position model. The record is from RNAcentral. Lineage: Bacteria; Bacillati; Bacillota; Tissierellia; Tissierellales; Peptoniphilaceae.